Molecule: ribosomal RNA, 346 nt
Filed under: uncultured bacterium
Lineage: Bacteria
Description: bacterial SSU rRNA
Rfam family: Bacterial small subunit ribosomal RNA
Source: RNAcentral
GACGUGACUUCAGAGUUUGAUCCUGGCUCAGGAUGAACGCUAGCGGCAGGCUUAACACAUGCAAGUCAGGGGCAGCAUAAUGAAGUAGCAAUACGGAAUUGAUGGCGACCGGCGCACGGGUGCGUAACGCGUAUGCAACCUACCCAUAACUGGGGGAUAACACUGAGAAAUUGGUACUAAUACCGCAUAAUACUUUAGGAGGCAUCUUUUGAAGUUGAAAGUUCCGGCGGUUAUGGAUGGGCAUGCGUUGUAUUAGCUAGAUGGUGAGGUAACGGCUCACCAUGGCGACGAUACAUAGGGGGACUGAGAGGUUAACCCCCCACACUGGUACUGAGACACGGACCAG